UAGAGGGUCCCCAUGUUCUCA
This 21-nucleotide microRNA is filed under the name Arachis hypogaea (peanut). Its description in RNAcentral is "ahy-miR3508". Lineage: Eukaryota; Viridiplantae; Streptophyta; Magnoliopsida; Fabales; Fabaceae. The record is from miRBase by way of RNAcentral.